Long non-coding RNA from Haemorhous mexicanus (house finch), 3660 nucleotides. RefSeq lists it as uncharacterized. The transcript is spliced from 2 exons. Lineage: Eukaryota; Metazoa; Chordata; Aves; Passeriformes; Fringillidae. The record is from RefSeq and is a predicted model, not a curated record.
UUCGAGGCGCGGUUCGAGAGGCGCUGCGGAGCUCCGGGGAGUGCAACCGCUGGAGGGGUUUUAGCGUGGAACUGACCCAAGAGCGAAACAACCCCCAGCCCCGGGCUGUGUGGCAUCCUCUGGCAUAAUGAAAAAUAAAGAAAGAGCCUGGACCAAAGGGGUGACUCGUCCAUUUCCGCAGAGUGACAUGUCCGGGCGCUGAUGCCUCUCCUGCCCCUCCGAGACGGGCUGGGACUUGUACGCAGCUUCUCCGAUUACUGGCGGCUUUUUCCCUCGCCUUUUUCUACUAGAUUUCCCAGUUCAUGGUAGAAAGUGAUGGAACUGGUGUCAUCGCAUUCAAUUCAUAACCUGAUGCAAAGCUGCACUUUUGGUGACUGUUUCACAACCUGCAAGAAAACCUGACUCCUCUUGAAACCUGACCCAGCCUGGUUACUCCAGCUAAGGAGGGUGCUGAGUCUCUGGCUGUGCCCUUGGUGCUGCUCUGCAGGAGGAGGAGCUGUGCCUUGCCCGGAGCUUUACACCAGCCUGUGCCUCAGCUGUGCUGGGCUGAGCUCUGGCUGUGCCCAAAACCUUGGCUGCUGGUUUGAGAGGUGCCCUGAAUCACGACUGAUGGACAGAACAGAAGCAAGCAUAAUGAGAGUGUGUGAGACAAAGAUCAUCUAAUAUACCUAUCCUGGCAAACUUAGUCUCCAUAGGAACUGUCUUAGAAAUAAAUAAUUGUGUCUCAGACAGCUUCCUGCCAGGCUUCCCAGGGAGGAGGUCAUUUGUGAGCCAGUGUGGAGCUGUGCUUUAAAGUAACUUUUAGGCUCUUAAAGGCAUCCAACUAUCUUUUGAUGCUUUGCCUUUGGAGAGCUGACUUUUGGUGGACUCAAGGGCUGAAGAAUUGUCACCAGUUUCAAGAGAAAAAUAUGCCUAAAUGCUUUUGCUGGAUGCCCAUCACAGUACUGGGUCCAAGGGUGGUUCUGAAGUGAGAUCAUUAUCCAUAAUUCAGUAAUUUUUGAUAGCCAUCUUCUGUCAGGAAUCAUUUAUGGGAACUUCUGAUUCUCUUCUGGAAGUGACUUGGUUCAAGUGGGUCAAAUUUCUUACCCUGUGCUAUUUUCAGUGUCAUAAUUUAUUAAGGAAUUUACCAAUUUGACAUCCUUUUCACUCCCAGGUCACUUUUAAGUAAGGGACAGUGCUUCGGUUCAGGCUCAAUUAUUUUCAUGUUCUUCAUGAGCAGAUGUUACCUUUGAACUUGGUUUGAUAGGAAGCCAUUGUAAUUUUUAUUUUAGCAGGAGUCUUGCAGAACAGUUAUUAAAAGUGAGCAUGCAGAGUAGGUUGCCACUGGCUGGAGAGUGCUAUAGGUCAGCAGAUGUUGGCAGAAGCAUAAUGUGCAGCACCCAUGUUGCUGUGCCAUAAAUUCUCCUUUUUUUUGCAAACACUCAGCUGCUCAUUUCACGGUGGGGAAAAAACAUCAAGCAAAUAUACACACAGAUUGAUUUUGUGAACACAGUAAACUGUUUUACUGUUGCCACACUAUCUAAACCUUCAGAUUGCACAAAAACUGGUGGCUCAGUAUUACUGUUUAGAGUGAUAUAUGUUUGUAGAGGGUGUUUGAACAAAGACUGACUGAAGUGGAAAAGAAAGAUUAUCAUGGCAAUUGCAGUGCCUGCACACAGUUAGAGAUCUCAAAAUCUGGAGUCCAGCUACUGCUCUUUGAGACUUCUGAAGAAAGCUGUGUGGUGGUUCCCUUAGCCACAGGCUGCAUUUAUUGUUCCUGGAUAUGAGCAAGGGACACCUGCUGAUGGACCGUGAUAAGAGGAGCAGGGCUGGAGGCUCCCUCCCUGCCCACCUCUGAGUCCUCUCCUUUGACUGUUACCAGGGAGACAGACAGAGAUUAACCAGGAGCCACCCAUCAGAGCCCAGUAAGAAACAGGAUUGAAAUUUUCUUCAAAGAAAGCAGGGGGUUGAGAUCAAAUUUGCAGAUGUAGGGAUUUUUGGUUUUAAUCUAAACAUUUGUUGCAAUAUUUGGCUGGAGUCAUUUUUAACUGGAGUCAAUUGCAGAGAUGCAAGGCUCCCAGACAAAGAUCAAAGCUUGUAACCAUGUAAGAAGGCAGGGGAGAGGUGGUCCUUGUUCUGAUGAAAGCUUUGCUGAACUAACAUCCUUAAUCUGCAGUGCAGGAUUUACUUCAUAACAUUUCCUUUGCUUUAUUAAAAAAAUAAUUAGGCCACAUGUGGUAUCUGUGAAACAGCAGAAAGAGAGUCACGGAUGCCUUUGAAAAGGCCUCAUUAAUUUAUCUGCCACAAUGGCUUUAGCAUUGGUUCCAUUUUUAAAGGACAGAAAUACUAUACUUCCUUAUAAAUCUCUAAUGGAAAUUGGUACAGGCUCACUGAUUUGGCAUGCUCAGCGCUGCCCUUUCUACUGUCAGUUGAUUAACUGAGAGGAAAGUUUGUUUUAAUAGUGAAAGAGAAAUUCCAUGCUUUGGGUGACCCAAACUUAGUUUCUGACUCUGCCACAUUUCUUCUGGAAGUUUUAACUCUGCUGCACUGUCCUCCUGCACACACAGAUUGUCCUGGUCAGCAAUGAUGGGGGAAUGCUGUAGUUAAACAUGUUCAAAUAUGAAGUCUUCAGAUGCUACAAGAGUGGGGAGAGGGCUUGUAAGUACCCAGACAGAUCCCAGGAGUAUCACUCAAAGCACAAAGGGUGUUGAAUACUGCACAAAAACUGGGUAAGUAGCAUUUUCUGAGUAGGCCAAGUCAGUCAGGGCCAAAAAAAGGACACAGGAAGAUGAGGUGGCUUAUAACCAGCUAGGAGCCAACACAGGCAUACAAAUCUGAGCUGUGACAUCACCAUGUUCAUGGACCCAUUCAGCUUCUGGAGGUCCUGCCCAGCAAUGUUCUGUCAAUGCAGAGCAGGGCAAUUUGUGUAAAGGGAUUUUAGAGGAAGAACUGAAAUCCAGUACUGGCUUACUAGAGGCACACUCACAAAAUUGCAUUUAGGCCAUGCCCUGGGUGCUGCAUGUCAGGGCCUUGUGGUGAACACCACAGUGGUUAAAUGCUGUGUGAAGCUAUUUGCUUUCAAGGUGGCUGAAAAUAGGAAAGAGAUGCUGGCGCGGUUGUUGUUGAGAAAGUGGAUUUUCGUUUUACAGCCAUAAAAACCAUGGCAGGAUCAAUAGUGUUGGUUUUGCUCCAGAGGUAAGCAAAUUCCAAAUAAUGGCUUUCAGGUGGGAGCAAAAUACAGUCUGUCUGGAUUUAGGGUUUUACACUAUUGAUCAUGUACCAGAUGAGCACCUUCCCCAUCCAGCCAGUAGUAAUAGCCAUUCUUCUCUGUUCUCCCCCAGGUAAAAAAAUUAAAUGUCUUACAGUACUUUUAUUCCUUGGUAUUGGUUUGCUGCUUUGGCUAAUAUAUUUCUUUUUAGUCUUGAGACAGUUUUACUGGAUUUCAAUUUCGUUUUGCUCUGAUUUAAUUUUGUGAAAGAAGGACUAUUUGACAAAUGGAAUAUCAUGUAUUUCAGGCACAGAAAAGCUCCUCUUUUCUUUGAGACUUAAGCAGCUUUUGCAGUCUUUUGACAACUGGGCUGAUGCUGGUUUUCUCUCUAUCAAAUUUCUAUCACUGCUGAGUCCCCUGCCAUGUAUUGUCUGUCAUAAACAGCUCCAAAUGAAAUAAAAAGUGAAGUUAAA